RNAcentral lists this ribosomal RNA (255 nucleotides) under Triticum aestivum (bread wheat). RNAcentral's name for it is "partial small subunit ribosomal RNA". Lineage: Eukaryota; Viridiplantae; Streptophyta; Magnoliopsida; Poales; Poaceae. The record is from RNAcentral.
AUGAAUUUAAACCCAUCGAUCAUAUGCUGGAAUGUGAGAGGUCUGAACAACCCGGCAAAAAGAAAGGCAGUGCGAGAGUUUGUUUCGUCUAUCAAAUGUAAUAUGGCGUGUCUUCAGUAGACCAAAUUAGAUGUAGUAGAUCAGUACUUAAUGAUGCAAUGUAUCGGGCCAUUCUUUGAUGGCCUUGCUUAUCUUUCGGCGAUCGACACACGUGGAGGGGUUCUUUUGGCUUGGAUACUACGGUGCUCUGGGUAG